AGCAGGCUGGCCGGCUCCAUCGCGGGCAUUAGCUGGAGGCCGGCGGGACGGCCGCGGCCGCAGCAGCCAUGAUCGCCCGCGCCUUCAGCGGAGUGUUUUGGACUGCUUUUGAAGCCCACAGCUGUGAGCUGCCAGAGGGAAGACUGGUGAUGGUUCUGGUUUCUGCACUCAGACCAGGCAUGAUGAGUCCAGCUCUUGGGGAGGAAGGAGCUCUGGCUGAGUCAGGCUCAGAGCACAGUACUAUACAAAGACCAAACCACCUGUUCUCCCGCAGUUACAGCUACAAUAAACAAUCCUCUGUCGAGGUUCCCGUAAAGCCGAUUCCACUGUGAACUCGCAGGAUCAAACGGAUAUUCCCUGGUGUUCCCAGGGACAGCAGCUGGGCUGCAGACGCCAAGGCCAGCGUGUCCCCCGGUAUUCCGAGGUCUCCUGACUCCACCGAGUGGCCGGUCACUCCACUGCAUGUCUGUCACCAACCCAAGGCAUCCACCUGCCGAGGCUGGCAAGAAGAAUAAUACAUUAAGGCCGAGGUGAAUGGACAAGAUUUCUCCCUCCUCCACAUCCCACAGUCCUCCAGAUGCCCCGGGGCCAAGCCUCUCGGUACAUUCCAGAAACCUCCCUGCUGCCUCAGGGAAAGGACAGCACCUGCCCAAUUUUCUCUGACCAGUUCCAAGUAAUUGGGCAGGCUUGCAUUUCCCUCAGAUUAUAACAUAUAAUUGCAUCUGGCAACCUCUUGAAAGCAAUAAAAUGUUUAAAGCUCCAAGAAAACUAUAUGAAAAUCAGACCAGUGUAGUAGCAGCAGUCAUGCUCUUUUCAACUUCUACCCCAAACUGGGCUGUUAGGUGACACACAGACAUUCCUCUCUGGCUCUGACAAGGAAAUCACAUUAAUAGACCUAAGCCCCAGAUUCCCAAAGACUUUUUCUUCCUCUUUUCCUUCCCUCAAUUUGUUAAAAAAUAAAUGAAUAAUCUAGAAAAUCAUCUAGCAGCUGUAACAGACUGAGGAUGCACCAGCCAGUGUGUUUUUUUAGCUUAGCUCAUCCAUAACACAACAUAUAAUCAGUUGAAAGUCAUCUUUUACUGCUUCAAAUUAAGUUUCUACAAUUUUGUUUAUUUUGUCCUAUCCAGAAUGGACUACACAACAUCUGAAUACAUACAUUCCAUCUGCAGUUUUAGUAGAGCUGACUACAGGAAUUUUAUUCCCAGAUAUUGCUGUAUUCAGCUAGGAGAAAUGGGACAGAAUAAUAAAAUUAGAACAUGGUAUACCAUACUGAUACUAAUGUCAGUCAUCACUUGUGUUGUCUCCAAACAGAUGGAGGGAGAUAAGUCUAAGCUGACUGAUGAUGGGAGAUAAAGGACAGAACUAAAGUAUUUAUACAGGAGAAUGCAGAUGCAGCGUCAUUGUCGUGGGGUGACAGCCUUUAUCCCAAUAUCGUGUGUUGUGUCUGGCAUCUGCGCCUUCCCCCCCCCCCACCGGCCGUCUUGGCGCGGCGGGGCGGGGAGGGAGGGGGUGAGGGUGACCGGGCACCUUGGCUUUUGCUUUUGCUUGCUUGCUGCUGCUGCUUAGCAUGGCUUGCUUGCUUUCUGCGCUGUUCUUUUUUUUUUUUUUUUUUCCUCCUUUUCUUUCGUUCCCUCUUUCUUACCCUCCCCUGAAGAUACUGUACCGGCUCCGGACCUGACCUGGGACGUCCAGGACCCCCCGGAGUCUGCGAGAGAAGCUCAGCACCCUCCACAACAC
Serinus canaria (Common canary) is the source of this 1737-nucleotide long non-coding RNA. RefSeq lists it as uncharacterized. NCBI's taxonomy places the organism in Eukaryota, Metazoa, Chordata, Aves, Passeriformes, Fringillidae. The transcript has 3 exons. The record is from RefSeq and is a predicted model, not a curated record.